ACCAAUUGAUAUCUAAGAUAAGUUUGAUAUUUCAAUCGGUAGUUUUUAAUUGAGAGUGACUUAUCUGACUAUUUUGAUAGUAUCUAAAGCAAGCUUCGCAGAUCCUCCCAUCGAUCUCACUUACCUGACCAAUUUGGUAGAUUAUGUUUUGAUUAGAUCGCUAAGUGAUUCGAGUUGACCCAUGCUAUUAAGGUUGAUCAGUGUGAUUGAUCUAGGUGCCAGU
Molecule: long non-coding RNA, 223 nt
Filed under: Elaeis guineensis (African oil palm)
Lineage: Eukaryota; Viridiplantae; Streptophyta; Magnoliopsida; Arecales; Arecaceae
Description: long non-coding RNA (EGUI_LNC082793)
Source: RNAcentral